RNAcentral lists this unclassified non-coding RNA (378 nucleotides) under uncultured Actinomycetes bacterium. RNAcentral describes it as "uncultured actinobacterium contains 16S-23S intergenic spacer region". Lineage: Bacteria; Bacillati; Actinomycetota; Actinomycetes. The record is from RNAcentral.
UCCCCGUUUUCCGAGGCAGUUCCCUAAGAGUGCUGUCCAUUACAGACGUGGCAACAUAGGGUAAGGGUUGCGCUCGUUGCGGGACUUAACCCAACAUCUCACGACACGAGCUGACGACAGCCAUGCACCACCUGUCACGGGCCCAAAAGGACAUCGUGUUUCCACAGCUUUUCCCGUGAUGUCAAGCCCAGGUAAGGUUCUUCGGGUUGCAUCGAAUUAAGCCGCAUGCUCCGCCGCUUGUGCGGGGACCCGUCAAUUCCUUUGAGUUUUAGCCUUGCGGCCGUACUCCCCAGGCGGGGCGCUUAAUGCGUUAGCUGCGGCACAGGGAACCGGAGAGGCCCCCCACACCUAGCGCCCAACGUUUACAGCGUGGACUAC